RNAcentral lists this long non-coding RNA (912 nucleotides) under Homo sapiens (human). RNAcentral's name for it is "HSALNT0293514". The record is from RNAcentral. Lineage: Eukaryota; Metazoa; Chordata; Mammalia; Primates; Hominidae.
GAGACAGCGUCUCUCACUGUCACCUAGGCUGGAGUGCAGUAGCAUGAUCAUAGCUCACUGCAGCCUUGGACUUCUGGGCUCAAGCUGUUCUCCCCUCUCAGCCUCUCAAGUAGCUAGGUCUGUGAGCAAAUGCUACCACGCCCAGGCCAUGAGAAAAGAGACCUAAGAAAUGAUGCCCAUCCAGAAGAGUGAAGACUUCCUGAAAAUGUUCUUUUAACCUAAGAUGUAGGUUAAGAGGAGUGAAAAAAUGUUCUGUUUCUGACUGAUGAUGGAGCAACAAAGGAACUCCUAAAGAAGAAAUCAUCCAUUCAGUGAGAGCAAAUGAACACUCCAACAGACUGAAACAAAGCAUCUUUACAGGAGAUGUGAAUGCGAGAAAGCAAAGAGAACUACAGUCAGGGUCUCCGCUGGCAUGGCCCAAGCCCACCGUGGCAUGAUCCAGAGAGACGAGUCAGCAGAGCACUAUGGGCAGCUCCCAUACUCUUCGCAGAUCAACAAGCCAGCAUAUAACCCAGGGAGAUAGAUAAUAGUGAUGCUGUGCUCUGUAGAGGGUAGUGGCAACAGUGGGAUUUCUUCUGGAAUAAAUCUGUAGUGAGCCAGAUGUUUCUGCUGACUAUAUUACUUCUGACAGUGUAUAAUCCAAAAUUGUUUCCUUGGCCUUCCAAAAAGUUUUAUAAGCUCCCUAACGGCUGCAAUAAAUCCCUUUCUUCUUAAACUAGCUAGAGUGGAUUUUUGUUCUCUACAAAACAGAUCCUGCCACUAAGAACCCCACUAGUAUUUGUUGCCAUGAUUAGGGAAUAAGUUAAACCACUGUAAGGGGGGAAAAGCAGCUCCAAGUACAAGGGCUUAAAUGUGUUAGAAGCUUCUUUCUCAUAUCACAAUUCAAGAUGAAUACCUGGGCCAUGCUCCAUA